Molecule: long non-coding RNA, 175 nt
Organism: Sycon ciliatum
Lineage: Eukaryota; Metazoa; Porifera; Calcarea; Leucosolenida; Sycettidae
Exons: 3
Source: RefSeq, a predicted model, not a curated record
GCUACACAACGAGAUGAGGAUGGUCAUUGUCAUUUUCUGAGCUGCGAACGGGCAGAAAACUAACCAACGAGAUGAGGAUGUUCAUUGUCAUUUUCUAAGCUGCGAACGUGCAGAAAGCUUAACAACGAGAUGAGCAUAGUCAUUGUCAUUUUUUAAGCUGCGAACGGGCAGAAAG